CAGUCGAACGAAGCAUUUAGAACAGAUUACUUCGGUUUGAAGUUCUUUAUGACUGAGUGGCGGACGGGUGAGUAACGCGUGGGUAACCUGCCUUGUACUGGGGGAUAGCAGCUGGAAACGGCUGGUAAUACCGCAUAAGCGCACAAUGUUGCAUGACAUGGUGUGAAAAACUCCGGUGGUAUAAGAUGGACCCGCGUCUGAUUAGCUAGUUGGUGAGAUAACAGCCCACCAAGGCGACGAUCAGUAGCCGACCUGAGAGGGUGACCGGCCACAUUGGGACUGAGACACGGCCCAGACUCCUACGGGAGGCAGCAGUGGGGAAUAUUGCACAAUGGAGGAAACUCUGAUGCAGCGACGCCGCGUGAGUGAAGAAGUAAUUCGUUAUGUAAAGCUCUAUCAGCAGGGAAGAUAGUGACGGUACCUGACUAAGAAGCUCCGGCUAAAUACGUGCCAGCAGCCGCGGUAAUACGUAUGGAGCAAGCGUUAUCCGGAUUUACUGGGUGUAAAGGGAGUGUAGGUGGCCAUGCAAGUCAGAAGUGAAAAUCCGGGGCUCAACCCCGGAACUGCUUUUGAAACUGUAAGGCUAGAGUGCAGGAGGGGUGAGUGGAAUUCCUAGUGUAGCGGUGAAAUGCGUAGAUAUUAGGAGGAACACCAGUGGCGAAGGCGGCUCACUGGACUGUAACUGACACU
RNAcentral lists this ribosomal RNA (690 nucleotides) under uncultured bacterium. Its description in RNAcentral is "bacterial SSU rRNA". It matches the Rfam family "Bacterial small subunit ribosomal RNA", at positions 59 to 747 of the family's 1533-position model. The record is from RNAcentral.